Molecule: ribosomal RNA, 484 nt
Filed under: uncultured bacterium
Lineage: Bacteria
Description: partial 16S ribosomal RNA
Rfam family: Bacterial small subunit ribosomal RNA
Source: RNAcentral
AGUGAACGCUGGCGGCGUGCUUAACACAUGCAAGUCGAACGAGAACGGGUUAUAGCUUGCUAUAAUUGUCAGCUAAGUGGCGCACGGGUGAGUAAUGUAUAGGUAAUAUGCCUCUUACUAAGGGAUAACAAAUGGAAACGUUUGCUAAUACCUUAUACUCCUUAUUAACAGAAGUUAAUAAGGGAAAGAUUUAUUGGUAAGAGAUUAGCCUGUAUUGUAUCAGUUAGUUGGUGGGGUAAUGGCUUACCAGGACUAUGACACAUAACUGGUUGGAGAGGAUGAUCAGUCACACUGGAACUGAGACACGGUCCAGACUCCUACGGGAGGCAGCAGUGGGGAAUAUUGCACAAUGGACGAAAGUCUGAUGCAGCAACGCCGCGUGGAGGAUGACACAUUUCGGUGCGUAAACUCCUUUUAUAUGAGAAGAUAAUGACGGUAUUAUAUGAAUAAGCACCGGCUAACUCCGUGCCAGCAGCCGCCGUAA